RNAcentral lists this long non-coding RNA (1805 nucleotides) under Sinocyclocheilus grahami. Its description in RNAcentral is "lncRNA (ENSSGRG00000037274.1)". Lineage: Eukaryota; Metazoa; Chordata; Actinopteri; Cypriniformes; Cyprinidae. The record is from RNAcentral.
GCGUAGCGGGGGAGGUGUUUGACUUCAAAAAACAACUCGGGAUGUACUGUAAGAACGAUGUCGUUUUGUUACGUGAGGCUUGCAUGAAAUACAGAAAUGAGUUUAUCGAGUGUACAAACGUGGACCCGUUCGGAUGUAUAACGCUUGCCGGUUGUGCUAUGAAAGUGUUCAAAACGCUUUUUUUAACCAAAGACACGAUAGCCCUAACACACAAAAAUGCAUACAUCGAUCAGUACAAAGCUUACUCAAAUCCAUCCAUCCAAUGGCUCGAAUACAUUAAAGCUAGCAGAAACGUCGACGUUCAACAUGCGUUAAAUUAUGGCGAAGCCAAAUUCGGACCGUAUCAUGUGGAUGGUUAUUAUGAAGUUGAUAACGGUGAUAGAAUAGCCUUGGAAUUUUUAGGUUGUUUCUGGCAUGGGCACGAUUGUCGUUUUAAUCCUAACGAUUUGAAUCCGGUAUCAAAAAUACCAUUCAGUGUGCUCAGAAGACAAUCUGACAAUAAAUUGAAUGUUUUGCGUAAUACCUACAAUCUCAAUGUACAUGAGAUUUGGGAAUGUCAGUGGGAGAAAUCCAAACAAAACGAUUCUGAUGUCAAAGCUUUUAUGAGUAGUUAUAAUGCACCUGCAAGGCUUAAUCCGAGGGACUCGCUUUUCGGAGGCAGGACUAAUGCACUCAAGCUGUACCACAAGGUCAGCGAAGAUGAACGUAUCUCCUAUUUGGACUUUACAUCUCUUUAUCCUUAUGUGCAGUCGUGCAAAACAUACCCUAUAGGACAUCCCGAAAUAAUUUUAAAAGAUUUUGAACCGGUCGAAUCGUAUUUUGGUCUUGUUAAAUGUACCGUACUCCCACCGCGUAAUCUACUCCACCCGGUUCUACCUUUCAAGUCUCCAGAGGGUAAACUAUUGUUUGCACUGUGUCGCACAUGUGCCGAGACUCAAUAUCAGUACCAGUGUCAGCAUGUUGAUGAAGACAGAGCCAUUUCAGGCGUUUGGACAUCUGUUGAACUCGCCUGUGCUAUUGUUAAAGGUUAUUCAGUCGUCAGAACUGAGGAAGUCUGGCAUUUCCCCCAGACAUCAGACACAUUAUUCAGCGAGUAUGUUAAGACAUUUCUCAAAUUCAAACAGGAGGCUUCAGGUUUUCCGCCAGACGUAGUGACAGACGCAGACAAGGAGACUUACGUCAAAGGGUAUUUUGAGAAGGAGGGUGUUCAGCUAGACAUCGAUAAAAUCACACUCAACCCUGCACGUAGAUCUAUAAAUAAAUUUUUAUUGAACUCCCUUUGGGGGAGAUUUGGGCUUAGGUGUAAUUUGCCUACAGCAGAACUUUUAACAGAUCCCGAAGAUUUCGCCCGUUACAUCUUCGGAAAUGGCCAUAUCAUUAAACACUUCUCAUUCGUGUCAGACUCAGUAGCGCUAGCGCAGUGGUGUUACGCAGACGAAGACCCCACCCCCGCGCGCGAUGUUAAUGUGUUUAUUGCAGCAUUCACCACUGCGUAUGGCCGUUUGGAGUUAUACAGGCUUAUGGAUCAAUUAGGUUCUCGUGUUUUUUACGUAGAUACAGACAGCGCCAUCUUCAUAACGAAAGAUGAAGAUUGGAUGCCUAAAACAGGUGCAUAUCUUGGCGAACUGACGGACGAGCUUGAUGCAGACGACUACGUCAUCGAAUUCGCAUCGACCGGACCGAAAUCGUACAGUUUUAGAACCGUGAAAAAUAAAGUCACUCUUAAAGCUAAAGGUAUCACGCUCCAUUCUACGAAUGCAAAAGUCGUUACCCUAGAAAGCAUGAUCUGUCUGAUACAUGGUUAU